GCCCCUUCCGGGGGCCGAGUAGAGUGGCGCACGGGUGAGUAACACGUAGGUAAUCUACCUCUGGGUGGGGAAUAACGACCGGAAACGGUCGCUAAUACCGCAUAAUGCAGCGGCACCACAUGGUGACAGUUGUUAAAGCGGGGGAUCGUAAGACCUCGCGCCUAGAGAUGAGCCUGCGGCGGAUUAGCUAGUUGGCAGGGUAACGGCCUACCAAGGCGACGAUCCGUAGCCGGCCUGAGAGGGCGGACGGCCACACUGGCACUGACAUACGGGCCAGACUCCUACGGGAGGCAGCAGUCGGGAAUUUUGGGCAAUGGGCGAAAGCCUGACCCAGCAACGCCGCGUGAAGGAUGAAGCUUCUCGGAGUGUAAACUUCAUAAGAAUGGGACGAAUAAGGAGGGGUUAACACCCCCUUUGAUGACGGUACCAUUUGUAAGCUCCGGCUAACUCCGUGCCAGCAGCCGCGGUAAUACGGGGGGAGCAAGCGUUGUUCGGAUUUACUGGGCGUAAAGGGCGCGUAGGCGGCGCAACAAGUCACUUGUGAAAUCUCCGGGCUUAACCCGGAGCGGCCAAGUGAUACUGUCGUGCUAAAGUGCGGAAGGGGCUACUGGAAUUCUCGGUGUAGCGGUGAAAUGCGUAGAUAUCGAGAGGAACACCUGCGGCGAAGGCGGGUAGCUGGGCCGACACUGACGCUGAGGCGCGAAAGCCAGGGGAGCGAACGGGAUUAGAUACCCCGGUAGUCCUGGCCU
Molecule: ribosomal RNA, 749 nt
Filed under: uncultured bacterium
Lineage: Bacteria
Description: bacterial SSU rRNA
Rfam family: Bacterial small subunit ribosomal RNA
Source: RNAcentral